RNAcentral lists this ribosomal RNA (468 nucleotides) under uncultured bacterium. RNAcentral's name for it is "partial 16S ribosomal RNA". It matches the Rfam family "Bacterial small subunit ribosomal RNA", at positions 28 to 507 of the family's 1533-position model. The record is from RNAcentral.
GAUGAACGCUGGCGGCGUGCUUAACACAUGCAAGUCGAACGGAAAGGCCCAAGCUUGCUUGGGUACUCGAGUGGCGAACGGGUGAGUAACACGUGGGUGAUCUGCCCUGCACUUCGGGAUAAGCCUGGGAAACUGGGUCUAAUACCGGAUAGGACGAUGGUUUGGAUGCCAUUGUGGAAAGUUUUUUCGGUGUGGGAUGAGCUCGCGGCCUAUCAGCUUGUUGGUGGGGUAAUGGCCUACCAAGGCGUCGACGGGUAGCCGGCCUGAGAGGGUGUACGGCCACAUUGGGACUGAGAUACGGCCCAGGCUCCUACGGGAGGCAGCAGUGGGGAAUAUUGCACAAUGGGCGCAAGCCUGAUGCAGCGACGCCGCGUGGGGGAUGACGGCCUUCGGGUUGUAAACUCCUUUCGCUAGGGACGAAGCGUUUUUGUGACGGUACCUGGAGAAGAAGCACCGGCUAACUACGUG